CUUUAAUUCUAACUCUUAAAUUAACUCGCUUGCACUGCAUAUGUGUAGAGUCCGACUGGGGUGCUUCUAAUAGUAUCAAGCAUUUAAUGCUAUCAAGUUUUCUGCUGUUAGAUUUAUUUUUUUGACUAUUUUUAUCCGUUAGAUCAUACUAUUCAACCAAUCAUACACCGACUUAAUCGUAGGAGAUUACUAUUAUUCUAACUGUACAUCCUUUCAUCUAAGAGCCGAAAACUUAAUAGCACAAAUGACUUGGUGCUAUUAAUAGUAUAUAAUAGCCUAGUUCUAUAUAUUUAAUUAUAUAGAAAU
RNAcentral lists this long non-coding RNA (306 nucleotides) under Ananas comosus (pineapple). RNAcentral's name for it is "long non-coding RNA (ACOM_LNC032246)". Lineage: Eukaryota; Viridiplantae; Streptophyta; Magnoliopsida; Poales; Bromeliaceae. The record is from RNAcentral.